This 1172-nucleotide long non-coding RNA is filed under the name Chrysemys picta bellii (western painted turtle). RNAcentral's name for it is "lncRNA (ENSCPBG00000018216.1)". Lineage: Eukaryota; Metazoa; Chordata; Testudines; Emydidae. The record is from RNAcentral.
AUUGAUUGGUUUUUCGGAGAGUCCCAGCCUUCAUCUUCUAACUCUCAGGAAACACAGCAAUGGCCUUCUCCUAAUAUGUAAUCUGUGUGCUGGAACCGGGGGGAGCAUCAUCCUCAAAGGGAACACCUGGCUGAGAUAAGGUAGUCAGAAGAUUCCUUUCACUGGAAGGAGGGAGGGUCUUAUUCUUUUGACUAAAGUCUCAGUGACUGCUUUGUCUCUGGGCUCCCCAAAUUGCUUACCAACAAAAUACUUGGAAGGAUAUCGUGUUAGCAUGCAAUUCCAAUUUCUUCAAGUGGAUUUAAAAUGAUUUAAAAAUGUGUACAGCUGCUGGAUAUGAUAGAAUUGCACCUGAAUUUAUUAAACAUCUGGGUCUUCCUGCUCAGGAAUGGUUUGUUCAGUUUUUCGAGAGUUCUGCUGGAAUCCAAACUGCCUAGAAUCUGGCACCAAGCAAAGGUCAUUACCUUGCUGAAACCUGGGAAAUAUCCACAUUUGCCUUUGAGCUACACACCAAUUUCACUUCUAAGUGUUUGCUUUAAGGUGCUUGAGCAUCUGAUUUUGCAAAGAAUUUCACCAUCUGUGGAAAGCAUGCUGGCACCAGAGCAAGUUGGUUUUCGUCAUGGUUGUAGUACAUCUGAUCAAGUACUGGCACUUACAACUUUCAUCGAAAAUGGAUUCCAAGAUAAGCUGAAGACUGGUUCAGUUUUUCUUGACCUGACCAUGGUAUAUAAUAUGAUUUGGCACAUGGACCUUUUGGUGAAAUUGUCUAGAACUAUGCCAGGUUUGUUUGUUUGUGCAAUGGCUCUGUUUUUGAGAAAUUGCCAUUUCCAUGUGCAUAUUGGUGAUAGAACAAGUGCUUGGAGGCACCAGAAAAAUGACCUCCUGAAAGGAUCAGUAUUAUCUCCAAUGUCAUUCAACUUAUAUUUGAAUGACCUACCAUAUACCAGGUCUCACAAGUUUGUUUAUGCAGAUGGCAUAUUCCUUGGCACUCAGUCACACUCCUUUGAUAUAUUUGAGAGUGUUUUGAAUGCAGAUAUGGCUGCUAUGGCCAAUUAUUGUCAUCUGUGGUGCCUGAUACCAAGUGGAAGUAAGACUGUGUCGAGUGUCUUCCACUUACAUCAUGCACAAGCGGACAGAGAGCUGAAUAUAGUUCUCAAUGGUCAGCGAAUAAAGCA